GUAAUCUCUGCUACUCAGGAGGCUGAGCUUGAGCCUGGGAGGUUGAGGAUACAGCGAGCAGUGAUUGCUGGGUGACAGAGCAAGAUCUUUUCUCAAAAAUAAAAAACAAAGGAGGGGGAGGGGGAGGGGUCUUCUCCCCCAAAAGCCUUCCCUGACCUCCUCACAUGUCUAGUGAGGGGCUCCUCUGGUAUUCUCGCACCUCUGCCCUGGGCUUCUUUCUCCCCCAGCACUGAUCACAUUGGGUGCUAAUCUCUGGUUCUUGUGUCCAUGAGUUCCUCAAGGGCAGGACAGGAUCUUGUCUAUUUCUAUAUCCCUGGCACCAGGCAGGGACCUGUCACAGAGAGAGGCUCAGAGGAUGCUUGUUGAAUGAAUGAAUGAGGGAAUAAGUUAAUGACCACAUGAACAGCCACUUCUUCAGAAGGGUUUGGGACACAGGCAGGUCUUCCUCGUUCAACCCAAAAAAACAAAUUGUCAUCGGAGCUGGCGGGUCCUUUAGAGAUGAAUCCAGAGGCCAGGUGCGGUGGCUCAAGCUUGUAAUAGCACUUUGGGAGGCCGAGGCGGGUGGAUCACCUGAUGUCAGGAAUUCGAGACCAGCCUGGCCAACAUACUGAAACCCCG
Molecule: long non-coding RNA, 618 nt
Filed under: Homo sapiens (human)
Lineage: Eukaryota; Metazoa; Chordata; Mammalia; Primates; Hominidae
Description: HSALNT0154972
Source: RNAcentral